This is a long non-coding RNA of Mustela erminea (ermine), 445 nucleotides long. RefSeq lists it as uncharacterized. NCBI's taxonomy places the organism in Eukaryota, Metazoa, Chordata, Mammalia, Carnivora, Mustelidae. The record is from RefSeq and is a predicted model, not a curated record. The transcript is spliced from 3 exons.
UGCGCACUCCUCCUCGGGCGCCCCUCACAGAGGUGCGCCGCACAGCCCUACCUUCUUUUAUCCUCCUUCUUCAAACAAGGGCCCAAGUCAUAAUUAUUGAGAGAGCUUUGUCAAAAUGGAUAUUCGCCCGCCCCUAGAUUCAACCUUUCUAAAAAUCUCUCAACUUUCUCAUCUUUCCCGGCCUCCUCUUUCUCCCUCAGUGACAUCUCCAAAUCUAAGAUGGCGGACUCAGAUCAAUUAUGAAUACAGCAGAGAGACCCGGCUACACGAAACCCCAAACUGUCUGCCUUAUUUUGGAAUAUUCUGCUUCCUGAAAGGAGAGGAUCUGAUUUUAUAUACUUGGUGAUUAAAGAAGAAACAUGGUCAGGAGCCAGGAGACCCAAGUUCAUAGAAGUCUGUCUUCUCAUCUGUGAAAGGAUCAGGCUGAGGCUAAGAUGUCUACAGC